Molecule: ribosomal RNA, 3044 nt
Filed under: Salmonella enterica
Lineage: Bacteria; Pseudomonadati; Pseudomonadota; Gammaproteobacteria; Enterobacterales; Enterobacteriaceae
Also listed under: 1 other name
Description: bacterial LSU rRNA
Rfam family: Bacterial large subunit ribosomal RNA
Source: RNAcentral
GGUUAAGCGACUAAGCGUACACGGUGGAUGCCCUGGCAGUCAGAGGCGAUGAAGGGCGUGCUAAUCUGCGAUAAGCGCCGGUAAGGUGAUAUGAACCGUUAUAACCGGCGAUACCCGAAUGGGGAAACCCAGUGUGACUCGUCACACUAUCAUUAACUGAAUCCAUAGGUUAAUGAGGCGAACCGGGGGAACUGAAACAUCUAAGUACCCCGAGGAAAAGAAAUCAACCGAGAUUCCCCCAGUAGCGGCGAGCGAACGGGGAGGAGCCCAGAGCCUGAAUCAGCAUGUGUGUUAGUGGAAGCGUCUGGAAAGGCGCGCGAUACAGGGUGACAGCCCCGUACACAAAAGCGCAUGUGCUGUGAGCUCGAUGAGUAGGGCGGGACACGUGGUAUCCUGUCUGAAUAUGGGGGGACCAUCCUCCAAGGCUAAAUACUCCUGACUGACCGAUAGUGAACCAGUACCGUGAGGGAAAGGCGAAAAGAACCCCGGCGAGGGGAGUGAAAAAGAACCUGAAACCGUGUACGUACAAGCAGUGGGAGCCCCACCACCAAAGCAUUUGCUGUACCGCGUUGACGGAGCGAAGCGACGUCAAACCGAUAAAACAGCAGUGUAAAGUGAGCCGCAGGGCGCUUUGCGCGACAGCGCAAAGGCAGGCGGUUUCGCGUAGCGAAAGCGAAUGCUUUGGGGUGGGGUGACUGCGUACCUUUUGUAUAAUGGGUCAGCGACUUAUAUUCUGUAGCAAGGUUAACCGAAUAGGGGAGCCGGAGGGAAACCGAGUCUUAAUUGGGCGUUAAGUUGCAGGGUAUAGACCCGAAACCCGGUGAUCUAGCCAUGGGCAGGUUGAAGGUUGGGUAACACUAACUGGAGGACCGAACCGACUAAUGUUGAAAAAUUAGCGGAUGACCUGUGGCUGGGGGUGAAAGGCCAAUCAAACCGGGAGAUAGCUGGUUCUCCCCGAAAGCUAUUUAGGUAGCGCCUCGUGAAUUCAUCUCCGGGGGUAGAGCACUGUUUCGGCUAGGGGGCCAUCCCGGCUUACCAACCCGAUGCAAACUGCGAAUACCGGAGAAUGUUAUCACGGGAGACACACGGCGGGUGCUAACGUCCGUCGUGAAGAGGGAAACAACCCAGACCGCCAGCUAAGGUCCCAAAGUCAUGGUUAAGUGGGAAACGAUGUGGGAAGGCCCAGACAGCCAGGAUGUUGGCUUAGAAGCAGCCAUCAUUUAAAGAAAGCGUAAUAGCUCACUGGUCGAGUCGGCCUGCGCGGAAGAUGUAACGGGGCUAAACCAUGCACCGAAGCUGCGGCAGCGACACUGUGUGUUGUUGGGUAGGGGAGCGUUCUGUAAGCCUGCGAAGGUGGCCUGUGAGGGUUGCUGGAGGUAUCAGAAGUGCGAAUGCUGACAUAAGUAACGAUAAAGCGGGUGAAAAGCCCGCUCGCCGGAAGACCAAGGGUUCCUGUCCAACGUUAAUCGGGGCAGGGUGAGUCGACCCCUAAGGCGAGGCCGAAAGGCGUAGUCGAUGGGAAACGGGUUAAUAUUCCCGUACUUGGUGUUACUGCGAAGGGGGGACGGAGAAGGCUAUGUUGGCCGGGCGACGGUUGUCCCGGUUUAAGCGUGUAGGUGUGUGUUCCAGGUAAAUCCGGUUCACUUUAACACUGAGGCGUGACGACGAGGCACUACGGUGCUGAAGCAACAAAUGCCCUGCUUCCAGGAAAAGCCUCUAAGCAUCAGGUAACAUCAAAUCGUACCCCAAACCGACACAGGUGGUCAGGUAGAGAAUACCAAGGCGCUUGAGAGAACUCGGGUGAAGGAACUAGGCAAAAUGGUGCCGUAACUUCGGGAGAAGGCACGCUGACACGUAGGUGAAGUGAUUUACUCAUGGAGCUGAAGUCAGUCGAAGAUACCAGCUGGCUGCAACUGUUUAUUAAAAACACAGCACUGUGCAAACACGAAAGUGGACGUAUACGGUGUGACGCCUGCCCGGUGCCGGAAGGUUAAUUGAUGGGGUCAGCGCAAGCGAAGCUCCUGAUCGAAGCCCCGGUAAACGGCGGCCGUAACUAUAACGGUCCUAAGGUAGCGAAAUUCCUUGUCGGGUAAGUUCCGACCUGCACGAAUGGCGUAAUGAUGGCCAGGCUGUCUCCACCCGAGACUCAGUGAAAUUGAACUCGCUGUGAAGAUGCAGUGUACCCGCGGCAAGACGGAAAGACCCCGUGAACCUUUACUAUAGCUUGACACUGAACAUUGAGCCUUGAUGUGUAGGAUAGGUGGGAGGCUUUGAAGUGUGGACGCCAGUCUGCAUGGAGCCGACCUUGAAAUACCACCCUUUAAUGUUUGAUGUUCUAACGUGGACCCGUUACCCGGGUUGCGGACAGUGUCUGGUGGGUAGUUUGACUGGGGCGGUCUCCUCCUAAAGAGUAACGGAGGAGCACGAAGGUUGGCUAAUCCUGGUCGGACAUCAGGAGGUUAGUGCAAUGGCAUAAGCCAGCUUGACUGCGAGCGUGACGGCGCGAGCAGGUGCGAAAGCAGGUCAUAGUGAUCCGGUGGUUCUGAAUGGAAGGGCCAUCGCUCAACGGAUAAAAGGUACUCCGGGGAUAACAGGCUGAUACCGCCCAAGAGUUCAUAUCGACGGCGGUGUUUGGCACCUCGAUGUCGGCUCAUCACAUCCUGGGGCUGAAGUAGGUCCCAAGGGUAUGGCUGUUCGCCAUUUAAAGUGGUACGCGAGCUGGGUUUAGAACGUCGUGAGACAGUUCGGUCCCUAUCUGCCGUGGGCGCUGGAGAACUGAGGGGGGCUGCUCCUAGUACGAGAGGACCGGAGUGGACGCAUCACUGGUGUUCGGGUUGUCAUGCCAAUGGCACUGCCCGGUAGCUAAAUGCGGAAGAGAUAAGUGCUGAAAGCAUCUAAGCACGAAACUUGCCCCGAGAUGAGUUCUCCCUGAGACUUAAAGUCUCCUGAAGGAACGUUGAAGACGACGACGUUGAUAGGCCGGGUGUGUAAGCGCAGCGAUGCGUUGAGCUAACCGGUACUAAUGAACCGUGAGGCUUAACCUU